ACAUGCUAACAAUGUGCCUAGUACA
This 25-nucleotide unclassified non-coding RNA is filed under the name Chlamydomonas reinhardtii. RNAcentral's name for it is "small RNA Cre_0228". Lineage: Eukaryota; Viridiplantae; Chlorophyta; Chlorophyceae; Chlamydomonadales; Chlamydomonadaceae. The record is from RNAcentral.